UAGUCAACAAACACAUGGAAAGAUGCUCAGCAUCAGUAGUCACUAGGGAAAUGCAAAUCAAAGCCAUAAUGAGUACCACUUCAUACUUAGAUCACUACAAUACAAAACAAAAAGAAAGAAAAGAGAAAUAACAGGUGUUGGUGAGGAUAUGGAAGAAUUAAAACUCAUCAAUUGCUAAUGGGAAGUAAAAUGGUUCAGCCUCUGUGGAAAACAGUUUGGUGGUUCCUCAAAAUGUUAAACAGAAUUGCUGUGUGACUCAGCAAUUUCACUUCUAGGUAUACACCCCCCAAAAUUGGAAAUAGGUACUCAAACAAAUACAUGCACAUACAUGUUUAAAACAGCACUAUUCACAGUAGCCAAAAGGUGGAAAAAAUACAAAUGUCCAUUAAUGGAUGAAUUGACAAGCAACUUGUUUGGUUUAUAGAACUUAUCCAUACAAUGGAAUAUUAUUUACCAAAAAAAAAUGAAAUACUGAUACAUGCUACAACGCAGAUGAAACUUGAAAACAUGCCAAGUAAAAGAAGCCAGACACAAAGUUCACAUAUUAUGUAAUUACAUUUAUAUGCAAUAUCCAGGAUAGGUAAAUCCACAGAAACAGAAUACAGAUUGGUGAUUAUCAGAACUUACAAGGAGGAAGGAGUGAAGACUAACUGCUUUAUGGGUAUGAGGUUUCUUUUUGGGGUGAUGGAAAUAUUUUGAUAUUAGGUAGAGAUCACAGUUGCACAACAUUCUGAAUAUACUAAAUGCCACUGAGUUGUUUGCUUUAAAAAGAUUCAUUUUAUGUUACAUGAAUUUCACCUAACUUAAAAAAAGAAUUGAUGGCAUCAGGUCUGUUAAAUGUCCUGGUUAUGGGAGGCACAGAAUUUGGAAAAGAAUUCCUCAAUCAUGUUUCCAUCGAUGCAAGCCGCUGCAGGAAAUCUGAUGAAUUCACCAUCCACCAUGUGAACAGAACAAAUGUGUCUCCACCUACUCUGUUAGAAACCCUGUUUCCACACGUCCACUGUGGACACUCCGAGAUCCCUUCCCCGGGACGCGUUCUGAGACAUGGAGCCGACACCCAAUGCUGGCCAGGCAUGUUCGCGCUGACGUGGCUAGUCGUGGAAACUCUGGACCAGCCUUCCUGGCUGACCACUCCUUUCAGUCAUUAACAUUCUCUCAACACUAAACUGCUUAAUUUGGUUACACCACCCGCCUGUUUAGAAUGCAGGAGAUGCCUGCUUUUAUGUUUGAUUUCAGCAGGGCUUUCGGGCACUGAAGGUUUUCUGUGGGAUCCAAUGGCCUAGUUUGAGGUGAAUAAUCAGCUUUUUACUCAAUGCUCUCUCUCCCUUUUCAGCUGCAAACAUUCUCUGUCCUUUUCUAUUCCCAUGGUUAAGCACAGUGAAAUGCUACUUUCAGAAAGACGAGGGUGUCAAAACCCCUGGUGAUUUCUAACGCUUACAGAACACAUCGCAUAGGAGCAAUUCAGACGACAAAAAAGAGCACUCUUCAGUCGGGUUUACACUGUGUGCCUGCUCACCUACACAUCAGCAAACAUGAAUGCCUCGCCUGAGGAAUGACCGGGUUCUGAGUGAGUUCCUGGGCUGGCAGUAGGUUUGAAAUUCUAUAGAGGCAGGCAAGGGAGGAGGUGACUGGGGUAGAAUUACGGGAAGGGAUUAAUGAGGGGGUGCUGGCUGAACAUACUGCUUCACUGUUCUCCCAGUCACUAGACUGAGGAGUCACUGGUUUUUGCCUCCAGGACUGUACUUUUCUAACUUAAAACAAGCCUCUUUAAACAAAUCUGCAUGAGGCAAUGUGUCAACACUUCAUUGGUUUCAAUAGAAUUAGUUUUCUAAAUGCUCUUUUCUGAAGCAAUUUUUGUACUUGAAAAAGCAUUACAAGGAACAUUUACUAUAACUACAGUACAACGAUAUAGAAUAUGACAAGUAGGGUUUUAAUCAGUGCAGACUGCAACACCGAACACGCGCGACACCCACCCUCCCCCUUCUCCUUCAGCAUCCAUGUUAAUAAACUCAGGAACUUAAGGUUGUUUUUACUGGUAUUUGCUGUAAAUAAUAGCCAGGACUUUAAUUGUAUUUGCUCAGAAUGAACUAGCCUAACAGUUUUCCAAAGAUGCCUAGGCAGGUUGUGAUUUAAAAGCCUUAUGUAACUCAGGCCCUUUCCGCACCCCAUGCCAAGCGAACCAUAAGAUCGUUCUGCUGGCUGAGAGCUAACACGCCAAAGGCCUGAACAAAGUGGGGAAAGCACACAUCAGCACUCUAUGGUGGACUUGCCUGGGUCGAACUCAAAGCACAGCUAGAGGCAGUCGAGAGGGGCUGAAAAUUCAAUGCCCUGGUUCUGACGUGUUCUGCAGGACAUGCUCUCUGAUAUAACUCCUGUUUCCCAGGUCUUCUGUCUUCACUCCCAGGGGUGCUCUAUGCCUGCGCUCCCCAACCCCUGGGCCGCAGACUAAUCAGCUUGUUAGGAAGCAGCCGUGUCACCAGCUGAGCUUUGCCUGCCCCAACACCCCUGUCCAUGGAAAAUUGUGGUCCAUGAAGCUUAGGAAAUCGGCUACACAGCCAGAGGAGAUGGCUCAGUGGAACUGCCGGCCUGCCCAGACCUGGUGGACGGAGGUCCUGUGUGGGGGUCACAGGAUUGUCUUAGGUGGAGAUGGGACAAUCAGAAUCAUCAAUUGUAUUAAUAGUCGAACAGCAAUUGCCUGAAGCUGAGAACCUGCCCUUUAAAAGCUCUGUAUUUCUGCUAAUUAUGAAGAUGACGGCAUUUUUAGACAUGAAUAUCCAUCCUCCUCAUUUGCUGGCAAGUUAAUAAACUCCU
Microcebus murinus (gray mouse lemur) is the source of this 2811-nucleotide non-coding RNA. NCBI's taxonomy places the organism in Eukaryota, Metazoa, Chordata, Mammalia, Primates, Cheirogaleidae. The record is from RefSeq and is a predicted model, not a curated record.